This 473-nucleotide ribosomal RNA is filed under the name uncultured organism. RNAcentral describes it as "partial 16S ribosomal RNA". It matches the Rfam family "Bacterial small subunit ribosomal RNA", at positions 332 to 797 of the family's 1533-position model. The record is from RNAcentral.
UACACUCCUGCGGGAGGCAGCAGUGGGGAAUUUUGGACAAUGGGCGAAAGCCUGAUCCAGCAAUGCCGCGUGCAGGAUGAAGGCCUUCGGGUUGUAAACUGCUUUUGUACGGAACGAAAAAGCUCCUUCUAAUACAGGGGGCCCAUGACGGUACCGUAAGAAUAAGCACCGGCUAACUACGUGCCAGCAGCCGCGGUAAUACGUAGGGUGCGAGCGUUAAUCGGAAUUACUGGGCGUAAAGCGUGCGCAGGCGGUUAUGUAAGACAGAUGUGAAAUCCCCGGGCUCAACCUGGGAACUGCAUUUGUGACUGCAUGGCUAGAGUACGGUAGAGGGGGAUGGAAUUCCGCGUGUAGCAGUGAAAUGCGUAGAUAUGCGGAGGAACACCGAUGGCGAAGGCAAUCCCCUGGACCUGUACUGACGCUCAUGCACGAAAGCGUGGGGAGCAAACAGGAUUAGAAACCCGAGUAGUCCC